Molecule: long non-coding RNA, 298 nt
Filed under: Brassica napus (rape)
Lineage: Eukaryota; Viridiplantae; Streptophyta; Magnoliopsida; Brassicales; Brassicaceae
Description: long non-coding RNA (BNAP_LNC022603)
Source: RNAcentral
UCAUCCCUCCUCAACUUCGUUAAUAUUCUUAUGCAUGAAAAAUAGAUAACAAAGGAUAUUAGCAUACCAAUCAAAAGUACUUUAUUAUAUAAAUUGUUCAAAUCAUUAAAUCCUACAACAUAAACACUACAAACUAAACCAUAUAUGUAACAUAAAUCAUAUAUAUAUUAUUAAAACAGAAAUAUUGUGUUGAACCUAACAUUUAUUUUGUAAGUUUUUAAAUUAAAUACAUCUUUCUAUUUUAUUGUUAAACCUACAUCAAAUCCCUAAUAUUCUUUUAUUUAUACUACUAUCCACA